AAACUUUGACUGACUCACCAGAUCUGUUUUGCUACACGGAAACCAAAAACACAAUCGUAUCAAUUUUUAAAAAUGUGCCAGCGAAAUGUGGUUGGCCGUCAUAUACCGAGUUAGUCCAAAACAGCCCACCCGGCUAGCUUAAAGUUCUCAUGACACCAUUUUAUUUUGUUUAAAAAAACAAAGCAUGAAGUUACGUCUGGCUAACGUAAUGGCGGGGGUGUGGAAGUCCUUCUGCAAAACAUGCAAUUACGGAUGGACUUGAUGAUCAAACACAAGAGCAAAGGUACAAGGCUCCAGGCACAGCCCAGCACUGUUCAAGCCGGGGCCAACAGAAGCUGUGCAGCCAGAUGGAGUUGAAACGGCUCCUGAAUAGAGAAUCUCAGAAUCUGAUUCAUUGUGCUCAGCCAAACCCACGGUAAUUACAAAAACAGCGCUUGGUUCACUAAUAAUGGGUGCGUGUCAUCUCCAAUCCCCAGACCGCCUGUCUGUCCACGCCACAGAGGCAGCAAUUACAGGCUUGGACCUUCCACUGGACAUGUUCACAGUAAAGUGUGCAGGGGGAACAGUGGACUGUGUGUGGGGGCGAGGCAUGACGGACCGGUGUCAUGGCAGACAAUAGAAGUUAAUCGUGGUGUGACCCCCACAACUAAUUUGGGAGCUUAAGUUCUUUUAAGAAGUGUCAGUCUCACCGGUAUGUGGUGGUGUCUGCUGCCUUCAUGGCACCGUGAGUCAGACUGUGGAGCGGUGACCUCUCGUGAUUUCCGAUGGGUGGACGAGCUCAUUGGGGAGGAAAACAGAAAAACAUUUUAAAAGUCAGCAAGGAAGAGAAAGCACGAGGAAAAAGCCCUGAAGGCAAAUGGCAGGCAACAUCAGUGCCGUUAGACGGAGCCACUUAAGCUGUCAUGCAAGAGUACGUGAACGCACCAGUGAACGCACACAGUCAGCAUCACUGAACACAUUAUACAGAGACAGUCAUGAAAGUGAUGGUAUCACCCAAACCCAAAGCCUUUUGGUAAAAUAGUCAAAUGACUAAAUAUUUCUAACAGUAGAAUAUAAUAUUGCAUCCGUUUUUAUUCAUCUUCUAUUUAUCUGUAUCUAUAUUAUUUAUCAGUAGUUGCUGCUUUGUUAGUUUUUCAUUGUAAUACAACCUAUUAGUCCUCAUAAUAGAUAUCUAGCUAGUAUUUUACUGGAAUUAUAUUUCUUUACUGUCUACGAGGAGAAAUUCAAUCAGCUGACCUCAAAGACAAAUCAGACCAAGUGGUGUAAACUCUCCAGAGAUAUUUGGUUUGUCAGAGUUGAUCAGAUCCGCAGAGGCAUAAGCAGACACUCAGGAAUAAUGCGUGGUGGCAUUGAGCUGAGCUUACUAGCUGAUAUGUUCAGACUGGGAGAAUGAAGCGGAGAGCCUGUAUGGAUGGAGAUGAUGAUGGUUGAUUUCUCUCACACAAGUCUGUCUCUCUAUCCCCCUCCUCUCUCUCUUUGUACGUAAUGACAAUUUCUAUUUGAUUUCUCGGCCAAAAUGUAUGAUCUGGUAAUUGUGUUUGGCUAUGCAGGCAUGCAUGAAACUCGCUACUUGAAAAGAGCGUGCAAAAUAGCACGUUGAUUUUUAUCAGUUGUACAUAUUUCUGUGGAGGACAGCCGUGAAUGGCAGUGACGUGUGGUGAGGUUCAUGGAUAGUGAGGCACUGACUCCUUUGUUUUCUAUGUUAAUACAGGCGGCUCAUUAAGAGGAUGACCAAAAAAGACGGUACUAUUCACUUUGGUGGUACAGUAAACCUCGGAUAUAUCGGAAAUUCGCUCACAACGGACAGAUAAAAAAGAACCGAUUUUUCUGUAAUGCAUUUCCAAUAAAAAUUCAUUGCAUAUAUCGGAUUUUUUAUAACGGAUUUCGCCUAUUUCGGACAAAAUCUCCAG
This is a non-coding RNA of Doryrhamphus excisus (bluestripe pipefish), 1910 nucleotides long. Lineage: Eukaryota; Metazoa; Chordata; Actinopteri; Syngnathiformes; Syngnathidae. The record is from RefSeq and is a predicted model, not a curated record.